UCAAGUGGUUCCGCGCCGACAAUGUAGCGGGGCUCAAGCACACCGCCGAAGCCGUGGCAUUCACACUUUUCCCGUCGGAUCCCUUGAGGGUCCGGCCAGGUGUGUGGAUGGGUAGGGGAGCGUCGUGUGGCGGUCGAAGCGGCGGAGUGAUCCAGCCGUGGACGCCACACGAGUGAGAAUGCAGGCAUGAGUAGCGAGAGGGGAGUGAGAACCUCCCCCGCCGGAAGACCAAGGGUUCCUGGGCCAGGCUAAUCCGCCCAGGGUGAGUCGGGACCUAAGGCGAGGCCGACAGGCGUAGUCGAUGGACAACGGGUUGAUAUUCCCGUACCCGCGAAGGAACGCCCAUGCUGAACCCAGCGAUGCUAACCCACCGACGCCGGUGCGCCCACUUGUGGGCAAUCCGGAUUAGCUGGGGACCCGGACUGGUAGUAGGCAAGCGAUGGGGUGACGCAGGAAGGUAGUCCUACCGGUGAGUGGUAGUACCGGUGCAAGGGUGUGGCCCGUGGGGUAGGUAAAUCCGUCCCACACACAGGGUGAGGCCUGACGCAUAGCCGAAUGAGGCGAAUUGGAUGAUCCUAUGCUGCCGAGAAAAGCCUCUAGCGAGUUCCGAGCGGCCCGUACCCCAAACCAACUCAGGUGGUCAGGUAGAGAAUACCGAGGCGAUCGAGCGAACUGUGGUUAAGGAACUCGGCAAAAUGCCCCCGUAACUUCGGGAGAAGGGGGGCCAUCUGCUGUGAACCGCCUUGCGCGGGGCAGCGGUGGGUGGCCGCAGAGACCAGUGAGAAGCGACUGUUUACUAAAAACACAGGUCCGUGCGAAGUCGUAAGACGAUGUAUACGGACUGACGCCUGCCCGGUGCUGGAACGUUAAGGGGACGGGUUAGCCGCAAGGCGAAGCUCAGAACUCAAGCGCCAGUAAACGGCGGUGGUAACUAUAACCAUCCUAAGGUAGCGAAAUUCCUUGUCGGGUAAGUUCCGACCUGCACGAAUGGCGUAACGACUUCUCAGCUGUCUCAACCACAGGCUCGGCGAAAUUGCACUACGAGUAAAGAUGCUCGUUACGCGCGGCAGGACGGAAAGACCCCGGGACCUUUACUAUAGCUUGAUAUUGGUGUUCGGUUCGGCUUGUGUAGGAUAGGUGGGAGACUGCGAAGCGGGCACGCCAGUGUUCGUGGAGUCGCCGUUGAAAUACCACUCUGGUCGAAUUGGAUGUCUAACCUCGGUCCGUGAUCCGGAUCAGGGACAGUGUCAGGUGGGUAGUUUAACUGGGGCGGUUGCCUCCCAAAAUGUAACGGAGGCGCCCAAAGGUUCCCUCAGCCUGGUUGGCAAUCAGGUGUCGAGUGCAAGUGCACAAGGGAGCUUGACUGUGAGACCGACGGGUCGAGCAGGAGCGAAAGCUGGGACUAGUGACCCGGCACUGGCAUGUGGAAGCGGUGUCGCUCAACGGAUAAAAGGUACCCCGGGGAUAACAGGCUGAUCUUCCCCAAGAGUCCAUAUCGACGGGAUGGUUUGGCACCUCGAUGUCGGCUCGUCGCAUCCUGGGGCUGGAGUAGGUCCCAAGGGUUGGGCUGUUCGCCCAUUAAAGCGGUACGCGAGCUGGGUUUAGAACGUCGUGAGACAGUUCGGUCCCUAUCCGCCGUGCGCGUAAGAGACUUGAGAAGAGCUGUCCCUAGUACGAGAGGACCGGGACGGACGAACCUCUGGUGUGCCAGUUGUACCGCCAGGUGCACUGCUGGUUAGCUACGUUCGGCAGGGAUAACCGCUGAAAGCAUCUAAGCGGGAAGCUCGCUUCAAGAUGAGGUCUCUCACCGGGUUAACCGGGUAAGGCCCCCGCCCAGACCAGCGGGUUGAUAGGCCGGAAGUGGAAGCACCGCAAGGUGUGGAGCUGACCGGUACUAACAGGCCGAGGGCUUGACCACACACA
RNAcentral lists this ribosomal RNA (1923 nucleotides) under Blastococcus saxobsidens. Its description in RNAcentral is "partial 23S ribosomal RNA". It matches the Rfam family "Bacterial large subunit ribosomal RNA", at positions 1149 to 2925 of the family's 2925-position model. The record is from RNAcentral. Lineage: Bacteria; Bacillati; Actinomycetota; Actinomycetes; Geodermatophilales; Geodermatophilaceae.